CAUGGCUGUAAUUAACUUGACAUUAGGAGUGUGAUGUAUAAUUGGAUGUACAUGCACACCACUCGGUGUGCAAGAUGAAGCCCAGCUAGUGGAGUACUUGGGAGAAAGUGCAGGACUGAACUGCUGUGUGCUACCUGCUAUCGGUGUUUUUCCAUCACAUAACUGUGGGUUGUUUGGUUCUUUGCUACCCAACCAGAACCUGCAGGUGCAACACAUCAACAUCCCGCCGCAUCAGUCAUUCAGAGACUGGGCUGUACCCGGCCCUCUUCAGUGUAUUUUGAACAGGCUUUCGACUCAAAUCCAAGUUAGAUGAGGCAGAUAUGUUUGAAUCUGUGUUUCGCAGGGUGGAUUAUUUUUGUGUUCGCCUGUUAGAUAAGAACUAAAUAGGACAUCGGCUCAGAGUUUGAUCUAUUCUUAGAGCAGAAUCAGCAAGCCUCAGAGAUGACUGAAUAUCCCUGAAGUCCCUGCAUGCUCUAUUUAGACCAUGACUGACAAUAUUUGAUGUGCGCCGUUAGACAAGACAGCUCAAAUGGUAUGUGUGUGUGUGUGUGUGUCCAUGUUUGUGCAUCUGGGUUGUUGACAUUUGCCUGGUUGAGGAAGUAUACACGAUUUGACCUCCAUGUUCUCCAUUUAUGCCCAAAAAAGGGAUUAAUAUGUCAUAUGAGUCUUUCUGUGAUGUUCUUUAAAAAUUUCUAACCUACUCUCCUGUUAUUUUAUGCGCUAUUUUUUUAUGUCUCAUUCUGCAUUUCCGUAGCUUAGCAACUGUGAUGCAGUGCUGAUAAAACAUCAUGCAUAGCUUUGCUUUGUGGUAUAGUUCCUUCACUAGAAAUACUUUGUGUAACUUGUCCAUGACAUCUUACAUUUAUAGUUUACAGUAUGCGCAGCACAAAAUAGAUUUAACCUUGCAACGAGGCAAAAUAAUGUAAAGUGCACAGAGGAAAAAUACAAGGAAGUAAACAAGUUUUAGAGAUUGAUCUUAGCUGUAUGGUUAACAAACACAAUGCAUUCCUUUCUUCUCCUGCCUCGUGUUUUCAUCCACUGCCUCUAAAUCACUGCUAACUGAUUUUCCUUUCUUUUAUCUUUGAAGAAAAAUGCCGGGAAUUUCAGCCCCUUAUUUAUCACCUCACAAUGAAGUCAAGCUGCCACCAGACAAGAUGAGGAGCAGCAAUCAGCCUGCAGAUGGAAACAAGGGUGGGUGGUUGGAAGGCUGGAUAAAGGCUGCUGGAUGACUGAACUCAGAGACCCGGCGCAGCUCAUCAUCAUUGCCAUGGGCUCUUGUCUUCUUCCUCUCCUCCUGUGGCUUGUACCUCCAUCCAGGGGUCCAGUAGAGCCAGUGAAGCCCAGGCGGGGAGCUAGUGAGUGGGCCGGGAAGGAUGGAGAAGGUCCCCAAAGGCUCAGAUCACCUCUGGAGCUACCGGCAUGCAGGAGAAAUCAAUAUGAAACAGAAAACCUUCACAGCUCUGAGUGGGGUUUCCUGUGUUUUAAGUGUGUGGCCUACGGGCCUGCAGACCUCCAAAAGACAGGUCCUGUGUGGUUCUCUCAGCUGCAGCCCUGGCUCCUUGGACUGGACCUCAGUCCCAAUCUCCACUGGCUGUGUGUGUGGUUCUGCUGAAGGGGAUUUCUCCCCAAAUAAUACCCAAUGCCCAGAACGUUGAAAGACUGCCAAGAGGGAUGCUCCUUUCUCUUGCCUUUUUUUUCCAUCAUAAGAUUGACGUAUCCCCCCAACCUCCUGCCUCGGGCUGAUAAAAAAAAAAAACAAAAUAAAAAAAAAAACACAGUUCGGGAGCUCUACUUUUGACUCAUUCUCCAUCCUCGACUCGCCCGUUGUUUAUUCCCCCAACUAGUUUUUACAUUUGACAAAGAGACAGAUCUUUAUUUUCUCUACCACUCGCUUGGCUUGCUGUUACUAUGGUGAGCUGUAGACACGUGUCUGUUCAAACAAGAAAUACUGGCACACGAAGUAUGAGCUUUUUUUUUUCUCCAUGAUGUCUAUUAUUCAAUUUCAGACUGUUUAAAAAAAACUGACUGAACAGCAAAGAGGGCUGGAGAUCAUAGAGCAGAGAGACCUUGUAGUGGAGAUGGUAAAAUGAUUGACGGCGCAGGAGAAAAAUCUGCUUGCGUUUGGCUCAAAGACCAGGCCUGUUCAUCUGUUGUUUUUCUGGUGUAUAACAAAACCUCAGAAACAAAGAUUUUGUUGUAAUAUGGGUUAACAUUGAUAUUUUAAAAACACCAAAAAAAAAAUGUUAUUUCAUUGUCUCUUAAGAUGUACUUUAUUGCCAACAAGCAUCUGGGGUUGAAUAAAGAAAUGUAUUUAAAGCUUUUAAAUAUAUAUUGUUUAUUGAGAGCCUUGUGUUUUGUUUGCUGUCCACUGCUGUAUUUGAUGCUCGUCAUUCGGCAAGAGUAUAGAGAAAAAUUUGAACUAAUUUUUUUAAUAAAAAGUCAGAUUGAUCACACCGCACUUUUAUUUUUGUGCCAGUUUUACAAUAAAGACUUUGUGUCUAAUGUAUAUAUAUGUGUGUGUAUAAACGCGCGGUCAAUAAAGUAACAUUAAUUUGAACCUCCUAUUUCCAGCUUUUUUUUUUUAUUACUUAGUUUUCAUUCUAAAUGCACAUUUCCCUAAAAUAUCUAAUAAGUCUAAUUUGGGCAUGAAGCUGUCACAUAUUUUUAUAAAGACCAAAAAAUGAUGGUGAAACUGAUUUUUUAACAUUCAGUUUAUUUUCUCACAUUUAUUUCAUUCAUUAUCGUAAGUCUAGCGCACUUAUAGCUAUUUACAAAACAAUACUACCUCCAGUGUCUUGUUACAUAAAGAAAUAUGCAAUAGAGAAAACUCACACAAUAACAUUUUCACUACAGUUAUUCUGACUUUUUGACAAACGUGGAAGUUUUUUUUGUUUGUUUGUUUUUUUAUUUGAUUUGUCUCAAUUUGCUGGUUUAGUGCAGAGGAAUAAACAGAAAUAUUAAAUCUUUUUGUUUUUACUUUUUAAAAAUUAUUUUUGUGUAGGCCCACACAUGCUAUUUGCCAUAAAAGACUGGUCUGUUUGUGCCUUUUUAAAUCAAACAGUGAAUGUAGAAUUUCUUUUCUUCUAGCUCAGCAAAAUUAGGCCCACACCAAACUGUGCUCAGACUCAGAGUGUAGUAGGUCAGGAAGAUUGGAAUAUUUGCAUUUUAAACAAACUGGCUUUUUGAAGCAUUUAAACAAAAAGGGGGGGAAAAGAUCGGGUUUUGAAGUUUUUAGCUACAUAUCUUUGACGUGGUUAAAAAACAAAAAUGCUCGCUAUACUGUCUACAGCACAGUUUUAAUAUUACUAACCAGAAAAGCAGGUGUAUUUGUAAAUCAAACACAAGGAGCUUAAUGGUAUAUUAU
Long non-coding RNA from Astatotilapia calliptera (eastern happy), 3364 nucleotides. The record is from Ensembl. Lineage: Eukaryota; Metazoa; Chordata; Actinopteri; Cichliformes; Cichlidae.